AAUAACUCCUGUCAGCAGCAAGGUCCUGACUGAAGUGGCAGCUGCAGUUGUUCCUGUGGUGUGGGCCAGUGGAAUUCCAAGAAAAUGGACAAGGACAGAAGCUGUAAGAAUUACCCCUAAGCCAGAGUCUCUCCUGGCAGAAGAGCCCAGGCCUGAGCUGGCUGAGUGUUGGUGUGAGCCAGAGUGGGUGUCCCUGCCCUGGGGCCAGUCCCCAGAGCUGCCUUUGGCAUCCCCUGCUGAAGGGUGGGAGCUGCCCAGAGCCAGCAGCAUCCAGCUGGAGGAUCCAGGAGGAUGCAGCUCUGCUUUGCUGGGAGCUUGUCCAGGAGAUGGAAUUCCAGUGCUACAGUCCAGAUGGGUCGUGGUGCUCCCAAAAGGACCCUUUGUGCCUUCAGGGCAGGUUCUGGUGCCACUGGAGCUGCUGGGAGAAGCAUAGGGUUGGCAGUGAGAGGCCUGGAAUGAUGUUGCUGUGGCACAGAAGAAAUGAGCAGUGGUGGUACAAUUGGCUAUUUUGUCUUGAAUGUAAUGGUAAGAGCUCCAGGAGUGCAAGGUGUGUGUUCCAGUCCCCAGCAUUUGGUUUGCACCUGUCCUGGUCAGACACAGGUCCAACUUCCUCAGUCCUUAACCCAGUAGAGGGCGAAUUAAGGACUGGCAGUGUUAAGGUGAUUGGUGUGACAGGGGUUAAACUGGGAAAACAUUGGGGAAUUCCUCGGUUGGUCCAUUUGCCAAACUCACCCAAACCUCUGCUAGGAAGAGAUGGACUGGAAAAGUUGAGGCAGAAAUGAAAUGGAAAACUGGGGUUGUUGAAACUGUAAUUGCUGGAACUAAAUGUGUCCAAGCAGCAGCUCUUGUUGUGCAGGGAAUAACUCCUGUCAGCAGCAAGGUCCUGACUGAAGUGGCAGCUGCAGUUGUUCCUGUGGUGUGGGCCAGUGGAAUUGCAGGAGAGUGGAAGAGGGCAGAACCUGAUGUGAAUGCAAGAAUCUGCCAAGAAAACCAAUGUCCAAGAUGAUUGAUGAGUGCAGGACCUGAGAGAACCACCUUGAAUGACAACCUUAGGUUUAAAAGAUGGGUGUUGCUUUUGAAGGAGAAAAUCUGGAAAGCAGGAAGGAAGAAAAGAAGCCCCAUGACUCCUCCCUGAGCCCCAGACAGCCCAUGAACUACCUUCCUGGGAAUGGUAGGACGGGGUGGACUCUGGAUUGCUCCCUCUGGAUGUGUGGUAAGACUUUUAUACCAGCUUUUAAGAACAGCCUGUAAGCAUUUGCUGCCUUGGCUAGAUGGUGCAAGGGCAGCCUUUAAGCAGCUGAAGCAUUCCCUGAGGAGAGCUCUGGGUCUGCCAGAUGUCUCAGAAGUGUUGGAAGCAUCUUUGGUGGGGAGGGCAAACAAAGGCCAAGGUGUGCAGUGACCCCCCUGAGAAGGGACUUUGAGUUAAUGGCAUCCCUGCAAGUGAACUUUGUGGGCUGUUCCCCCUGUAGGGCAGGUGAUAGUCCGUGCUAUAGUGAUGGGAAA
Molecule: long non-coding RNA, 1503 nt
Organism: Pseudopipra pipra
Lineage: Eukaryota; Metazoa; Chordata; Aves; Passeriformes; Pipridae
Exons: 4
Source: RefSeq, a predicted model, not a curated record